GCCUAGCCCGUAUGGUGGAUAUGACCCUCGGCUUGUAACUGAGGGGAUUCGGGUUCAAAUCCCGAGCAAGGCA
Non-coding RNA from Trichonephila clavipes, 73 nucleotides. The record is from the annotation of a GenBank genome assembly. Lineage: Eukaryota; Metazoa; Arthropoda; Arachnida; Araneae; Nephilidae.